Empidonax traillii (willow flycatcher) is the source of this 385-nucleotide long non-coding RNA. RefSeq lists it as uncharacterized. Lineage: Eukaryota; Metazoa; Chordata; Aves; Passeriformes; Tyrannidae. The record is from RefSeq and is a predicted model, not a curated record. The transcript has 2 exons.
CAGAAUAAAAGCAUUUACACUUUUUCAGUUCAGAAAGAUGAUUCCCAGCUCUCUACAUGCCAGCAAUGGCAGCUGGAGCAAGAACCUGUUUUGGAACCACGCUGCUGUUGCAAACAAGAAUACAGUGGUGUGCUUUACCAGAGCACCCACCUACAAGACUCCUUUUUUCUUUCAUAGGUCUACUUUUCAUUGAUGGAAAACCCUACUCCUCUGCACCAUGCAUGGCUUUGGUAUGCUAGGUUCAAAGAGCAGAACAGUAUAAGAGAAGAGUGUUUAGUCAGAGUAUGGAAAAAAAUGAACUAGACAAUUUAUCAAGUACAUUCCACAGCAAAAGCAGGGUAUUUUGAAAAACAAACAAACAAACAAAACAAAACAAAACAAACAA